UCAGGAUGAACGCUGGCGGCGUGCUUAACACAUGCAAGUCGAACGAAGCACCUCUAAUCGAAGAUUGAGAAAGCUUGCUUUGAUUGAUUCACCUUGAGGUGACUGAGUGGCGGACGGGUGAGUAACGCGUGGGUAACCUACCCUAUACAGGGGGAUAACAGUUGGAAACGACUGCUAAUACCGCAUAAGCGCACAGGACCGCAUGGUCUAGUGUGAAAAAACUCCGGUGGUAUAGGAUGGACCCGCGUCUGAUUAGCUAGUUGGUGAGGUAACGGCUCACCAAGGCGACGAUCAGUAGCCGACCUGAGAGGGUGACCGGCCACAUUGGGACUGAGACACGGCCCAAACUCCUACGGGAGGCAGCAGUGGGGAAUAUUGCACAAUGGGCGAAAGCCUGAUGCAGCGACGCCGCGUGAACGAAGAAGUAUUUCGGUAUGUAAAGUUCUAUCAGCAGGGAAGAAAAAUGACGGUACCUGACUAAGAAGCUCCGGCUAAAUACGUGCCAGCAGCGGC
RNAcentral lists this ribosomal RNA (513 nucleotides) under uncultured bacterium. RNAcentral describes it as "bacterial SSU rRNA". It matches the Rfam family "Bacterial small subunit ribosomal RNA", at positions 24 to 518 of the family's 1533-position model. The record is from RNAcentral.